Molecule: transfer RNA, 68 nt
Filed under: Marmota monax (woodchuck)
Lineage: Eukaryota; Metazoa; Chordata; Mammalia; Rodentia; Sciuridae
Description: tRNA.Ala
Source: RNAcentral
GGAUUGUGACUCAGUGGUAGAGCGCUCGCCUAGCACAUGUGAGGCACUGGGUUCGAUCCUCAGCACCA